AAGGUGGAUUUAUGAGUAAUUAUGUUUUAUAAUUAUAUAGUGAAAAGUGGAAUAACGCAUGUACAUAUUGCCCGUCGCUCUCAGGAAUAAUUGAGAUAAGUCGUAACAUAGUUGAUUUACUGGAAAGUGUGUCUUUUUU
This 139-nucleotide ribosomal RNA is filed under the name Stenodesmus tuobitus. Its description in RNAcentral is "partial small subunit ribosomal RNA". Lineage: Eukaryota; Metazoa; Arthropoda; Diplopoda; Polydesmida; Xystodesmidae. The record is from RNAcentral.